UACGGAAGGCAGCAGUGGGGAAUAUUGCACAAUGGGCGCAAGCCUGAUGCAGCCAUGCCGCGUGUAUGAAAAAGGCCUUCGGGUUGUAAAGUACUUUCAGUCGUGAGGAAGGUGUUAAGGUUAAUAACCUUAGCAAUUGACGUUAGCGACAGAAGAAGCACCGGCUAACUCCGUGCCAGCAGCCGCGGUAAUACGGAGGGUGCGAGCGUUAAUCGGAAUUACUGGGCGUAAAGGGCACGCAGGCGGUUAAUUAAGUUGGAUGUGAAAUCCCCGGGCUUAACCUGGGAAUGGCAUUCAAGACUGGUUAGCUAGAGUCUUGUAGAGGGGGUAGAAUUCCAUGUGUAGCGGUGAAAUGCGUAGAGAUGUGGAGGAAUCCGGUGGCGAAGGCGGCCCCUGGACAAAGACUGACGCUCAUGUGCGAAAGCGUGGGGAGCGAAACAGGGAUUAGAUACC
RNAcentral lists this ribosomal RNA (453 nucleotides) under uncultured bacterium. RNAcentral describes it as "bacterial SSU rRNA". It matches the Rfam family "Bacterial small subunit ribosomal RNA", at positions 340 to 786 of the family's 1533-position model. The record is from RNAcentral.